RNAcentral lists this ribosomal RNA (467 nucleotides) under uncultured bacterium. Its description in RNAcentral is "partial 16S ribosomal RNA". It matches the Rfam family "Bacterial small subunit ribosomal RNA", at positions 28 to 507 of the family's 1533-position model. The record is from RNAcentral.
GACGAACGCUGGCGGCGUGCUUAACACAUGCAAGUCGAACGGAAAGGCCUCAGCUUGCUGGGGUACUCGAGUGGCGAGCGGGUGAGUAACACGUGGGUGAUCUGCCUUGCACUCUGGGAUAAGCUUGGGAAACUGGGUCUAAUACCGGAUAUGAACUGCCUUUAGUGUGGUGGUUGGAAAGUUUUUUCGGUGCAAGAUGAGCUCGCGGCCUAUCAGCUUGUUGGUGGGGUAAUGGCCUACCAAGGCGUCGACGGGUAGCCGGCCUGAGAGGGUGUACGGCCACAUUGGGACUGAGAUACGGCCCAGACUCCUACGGGAGGCAGCAGUGGGGAAUAUUGCACAAUGGGCGGAAGCCUGAUGCAGCGACGCCGCGUGGGGGAUGACGGCCUUCGGGUUGUAAACUCCUUUCGACAGGGACGAAGCUUUUUGUGACGGUACCUGUAUAAGAAGCACCGGCUAACUACGUG